CCUAGAGAAGUAAGAUUCAAAUUUUUAGGUGAGGCAAACAAAAUUCCAUAGAAGAUGCUAAAGAGAAUCCCACAGCAGCAAAAAGGUUAUAAAAAUGGCGUCGCCCGGACUCGAACCGGAGACCUUCAGUGUGUUAGACUGACGUGAUAACCAACUACACCACGACACCUUUAUGCUAAGGCUUUUUCAGAAUACAUAAUUAUCUAAUGUUUUAAAAAAUAACAGCCAGGAUAGAGAUAUGAAAAGAGAGCGUGGAAGUACGCGCCAAUUUCCUCCAACACUUCAAACAUUUUGGGCAUUCUCUGAAGCACACUCUCUUACUUCGAGGGAACACUCCUCCUCCUCCUCGUAAAUCAAUUUCUUCCUCUCUUGCUUUCUCCAUCUUAUUUUUCUGAUUUUAAGUUAAAAGAAAAAUAAAAUGUCAAGCACUUUGGACAUGUCCCUUGAUGACAUCAUAAAAAAUAGCAAAAAAAUCCGGAUUCUGUAUUUCCCGGGGCCGUGGACGAGACCGCCCUUCCGGAACCGGUCCUGCUCGCCGCUUCCCCAUCCAUUGAUAGAUGAAUAAACUAUGUGCAGGGAUUUUAUUCCGAAGUGGGUGAACUGAAAAGGUAUUCAAUCCAUUACGACCGGAGCGGCAGAUCGAAGGGAACGGCAGAAGUUGUCUUUAUACGACCAGCUGAAGCUGUGGUUGCUGUUAAGAGGUACAACAAGGUUCAGCUUGAUGAGAAACCUAUGAAGAUAGAGAUCGCGGGAACAAAUUUUGCACCCCAUCAUGCUAAUGCCGCUUUUGGAAAUUCUAAUGGACUUUCUGGACGUGUACGAAGUAGGGGUGGUGCAUUGGUACAACUGCGUGGCGGCGGCAGCGGUGGCCGUGGACUUGGAAGGGGCCGUGGACGUGGAAGGGGGUGUGGUGAAAAGGUAUCCGCUGAAGAUCUUGAUGCAGAUUUAGAGAAGUAUCAUUCAGAAUCAAUGCAGAUAAAUUGAAGUCAUUUCUGGUGUCUUGGUGGUAGGCCCUACAUCUUUCAUGCAGCAAUGGAACUAUUUUCCAUGUCUCGGCCAAGUUGUAUUAGUGAUUUUGUAAAUAUUUGUUAGAGAAAACUAUUAGAAUCUUUAUUGUGGAGGUUUGGGCUUUUAUUGUGUAUUGUUCUUUGAUGUGGGUUGAUGGGGAGCUAUCUCUAUGUAAUGCACUCUUGCUUUUUGUUUGGUUAGCUUCGUGAUUUUAUAGGUUGGGGUGGGAAGAACUAUUUUCUUUGACAGAAAACUGUCUACAAAGGGCAGAGAAUCAAACUUUGUCAUGAGCUUCGCCGUGCUGUGAUGUCUGUUGGUUCCCUCUUCAUCGUAAAAUCAGGGAGAUAUGGAGGUUCUCGAAUAAGCUGCAUCUAUUCUGUCCGGUGAAAUAUCAGUUCCCUGAUUGUUUCAUGACUGCUGAUGCAGCUCAUAAUAGUGACUGCAACUUGCAUCUCUGCUUCAUUCAACCCGAUGAUGUUGAAAACGCAGGUGGAUAUAGAGCUUGGAAUAUGGUUUGCAGCUGGAAUGACUCUGGGUGCUGGUUAAACUACACUGACGAGUGAGAGCUUUGCACUGCCUUCUGCAUUCUUCGAAGCUCCUGCUUUUGCGUCGGAAUGCAGCUGGUUAACCCUUGAUAGUCAUUAUGCUUGCGCAAAUCGUCUUGGGCACGAGAGGGUAAAUCUAACACCUCUUGAAUUGCAAUUUGAAAGCUGCAAUUGCAUCCAGACCACUGCUCUUGCUAAGUUCACUAUAUUCGUAACCAAAAAUUGUAUGUCAUUUCGUGGAGUUAGUUUGGUGCUGUUGAGAAUAUAGCAGUAUUCCAAUUUUUUGGAAAGAAAAACAAUUUUUUUUUUAAAAAACUUUAUUUGAAGACAAUAUUUCUCAUAUUUUCUAAAUUCA
Molecule: RNA transcript, 1908 nt
Organism: Populus trichocarpa (black cottonwood)
Lineage: Eukaryota; Viridiplantae; Streptophyta; Magnoliopsida; Malpighiales; Salicaceae
Exons: 4
Source: RefSeq, a predicted model, not a curated record